RNAcentral lists this ribosomal RNA (438 nucleotides) under uncultured bacterium. RNAcentral's name for it is "bacterial SSU rRNA". It matches the Rfam family "Bacterial small subunit ribosomal RNA", at positions 954 to 1392 of the family's 1533-position model. The record is from RNAcentral.
GCAUAACGCGAAGAACCUUACCCACCUUUGACAUGUACGGAAUCCUUUAGAGAUAGAGGAGUGCUCGAAAGAGAGCCGUAACACAGGUGCUGCAUGGCUGUCGUCAGCUCGUGUCGUGAGAUGUUGGGUUAAGUCCCGCAACGAGCGCAACCCUUGCCAUUAGUUGCUACAUUUAGUUGAGCACUCUAAUGGGACUGCCGGUGACAAACCGGAGGAAGGUGGGGAUGACGUCAAGUCCUCAUGGCCCUUAUAGGUGGGGCUACACACGUCAUACAAUGGCUGGUACAAAGGGUUGCCAACCCGCGAGGGGGAGCUAAUCCCAUAAAGCCAGUUGUAGUCCGGAUCGCAGUCUGCAACUCGACUGCGUGAAGUCGGAAUCGCUAGUAAUCGUGGAUCAGAAUGUCACGGUGAAUACGUUCCCGGGUCUUGUACACACCG